AGAAGAAUGAUGGUUACCUGUAAGGGAGUGAAUACCUUGUCACCAGCAGAAUCCCAGGAUGAAGAUGACGACGAAGACCAGGAUCUGGGAGAGGGCUCUCAAGUAAUUCUUCAUCGAAUCCAUGAUCUACCAGACCAUAAUGCCAUUGGAGAUAUUGGUCGAUGUUGGGAGAUGUAGCUGAGGCUUGAUUUGGCCGAGUUUGCUUCCUUUUGAGGUUUCUAGAGGAAUGAAGAGGAAGAAGACGUAGCCAAAGAAGUUUGACCGUUUGCUUGCAGCUGCUGCUCCACUGAGUCCUCAGCACGAGCCACUGGAUUGGUGGGACGACUUCCAACAGAGAUUUACCAGGCCUUUAUCUGGAUCAGAAUCCAGAAAUGCAGUGAAAUUUGAAUCUGUCUUCAAAAUUUCAAGAAGGACAUUCAAAUGCAAGGACCUGGAUUCUGGUUUCAUUUGUCAUCUUCAAUAGUUCCAGCUUUUGGUGCCAUGACUUGCAACUCGAAACUAGUUACAGAAA
Rosa chinensis is the source of this 511-nucleotide long non-coding RNA. RefSeq lists it as uncharacterized. The record is from RefSeq and is a predicted model, not a curated record. NCBI's taxonomy places the organism in Eukaryota, Viridiplantae, Streptophyta, Magnoliopsida, Rosales, Rosaceae. The transcript has 2 exons.